Glycine soja is the source of this 4264-nucleotide long non-coding RNA. RefSeq lists it as uncharacterized. The transcript has 14 exons. NCBI's taxonomy places the organism in Eukaryota, Viridiplantae, Streptophyta, Magnoliopsida, Fabales, Fabaceae. The record is from RefSeq and is a predicted model, not a curated record.
GCUCUCAUUUUGGCCACUCCCUCCAACGGCAAGACCUAGUACGAUAUACCUGGAUCUAAAAACAAUUUCGUUCUCCCUCACCAGUCACCACGCAACACCCCGUCAUUCCCUUCACUGCGCCAACCGUGGUUCUCAGCAGCAUCACUAUCCGCUCUUCCCCCUCAGCACGUCGUGAAUCCACGAAUCCGAACCUUGGUUGCCAUCGUCGUUUGUCGUUGCAGGUUCACACGCAGGAGACGAGGCUCUCGUUGUGGGUUCCCGUGAUAACUGUCACUGGUUAGCGUGAACAUCCAUGGUUUCUUGUACGGGCGCUCUCCGUCCGCUUCUUCACUGGCGGCUCCGUGCCCCUCCGCAUCUUCUGCUCUCAUAUCCUUUCUUGUUUCCUUGAACUUAUUCACUGCUUAGUCAGAAACUCAUGUCUUCCGGCGAAGACAACAUGGCGGCGAUAGAGUGGAAGUGAUAGCAACAGAGAUCAGAACAUACCUGAGGCCCAAGCUAUGGAUGAAGACAGACCCGAGACCCACGAUGGAAGGCCCAAGAGAAGUACCAAGCGACUUGAGUAUCUGGACAAUUACGCAUAACAGUUAUUGGGGAAGAAUUAAGGGAGUUAUUUACAACUGUUUUUCCAUUUCAGAAUUCUGUUAGAAAAGCUGCUAGGAACUCGUUAUUGCAAUCAUGCUUUGUAAAUUUUAUUACACAGAAUCACCCCACGAAAUGUAUUUAAAUAAGAUUGCAAUGAAUUAAAUGGUAAGAAGAAUUCCAGCUCAUCACCUUUAGUGUAGAACGGAGGUUCCCUUGCCCUCGAAAUGAAGGACCAUUGUCCUCUGCUUGUAUCAGGAAGCCAUCAGAGCUGAAGCCCAAUGUUUCGCUGUCUAGCGUUAAGGUUAUUGAUAAGUCAUUUGGUUUUGACACUGCUGUUGAAGAGGCACAAGGAGCCAUAAACUUUGCUCAUGUGGAAGCAGAAAGCACUGAGAAUGGUAUCGAUAUUGUCAAGCUUAUGGGUCGUUACAGUGGUGUUGGUUUUGUGACAUAUGUUUGGUAGUGAAAUUUAAAUAUUUGCAUGGAAGCCUAAGAAUGUAUUAGAUCCGGGCAUACAAUGAUAGAGGCAGAAUCCCCAUCAUUUUACCUGGUGGCAAUGAGGAGUAAAGCUCUAAACUUGGUUCAUGUCCUUGAUAGUGCUGCUGCUGCUACUACAACUGCACCUGUUGUUGUCUCACCUAUGAGACUUUGGAUUCAUGUCCUUCAUGUCCUUCUCUAACAAUACAAAUUUAAGUUGUACGAGGGAAGAGGCUCUGGAUUUCGGUGCCUUGAGCGUUUCUAAUGGAGGGAAGUAGUUACUUGAUAACAUAUUAUGCAUUAAUAUGAGUGGGUUGACUGGACCUAUUCAAUUUGGUUUAGAUAGAUCUCCUCUAAAUCCAUCAUAUGACAUUCUUAAUGUAAUUGCUACAGGUUAUAGGAGAAUCGGCUACUGGUCUAGUUCUCUGACCUUUCUGUAAUAAACCCUGAGAAACUUCAUGCAGAGCCUGCCAAUUGUUUAAUUUCAAGCCAACAUCUAAACUGUGUCAUAUGGCCAGGAAAUACAACAGAAAAGCCUCAUGGAUGGGUUUUCCCAAAUAACGGGAGGUAACUGAGAAUUGGAAUUCCCAACAGAGUUAGCUAUUAAGAUAUGAUCUCCCAAAUAAAUGGCACCAAUGCAAUUCAAGGAUAUUGCAUAGAUAUAUUCCUAGCUGCCUUUAAAUUGCUUCCCUAUGCAGUUCAAUACAAGUUCAUUCUGUUUGGAGAUGGAGACAAGAACCCAAGCUACUGUGAUCUUGUCAACAUGAUUACUUCUGAUGUUUUUGAUGCUGCCGUAGGUGACAUUGCGAUUGUCUCUGUCUGAACAAAGAUUGUGGAUUUUAGUCGACCAUAUAUAGAGUCGGGGCUAGUUGUGGUUGCUCUAGUAAAAAAAAUUGAAGUCAAAUGCUUGGGCUUUCUUGUGACCAUUUACUCCACAUAUGUGGGGUGUCACUGCAUUUUUUUUCCUCUUUGUUGGAGCAGUGGUGUGGAUUCUUGAACAUAGAACAAACGAUGAGUUUCGAGGGUCACCGAGGGAACAUAUAGUUACAGUUCUUUGUGAGCGCAACCAUGAGAGCAAACAGUCAAUAGAAGCUGUAGAACUGCAUUACAGCACAAUUUGUCCAAUCUGACCAUCAUUUUGACUGUGAAAAGCAUCGUUCCAGUCACAACGGCCAGGUGGGAUAUGAUGAUGCUUGGAGGAGAAGUAGGGUGCCAUGUGUGAUGCUCGGGCACAAUAGCACCAAUAUUGCGCACAAUUAACUACCAUGCUAGGGUGGACUUGGGUACAUCUGAUUAUUUUGCAAUUGAUGUGCUCCUCAACUGCCUAACUGUCCUGAGCUCGGAUUCCCAUUUUUGCAUUUAGGUGAUAAAGAAUUUAUUCAUUUGAGUUGCACAGCUUUACCAGUACCAACAGUCCAACACCAUCAGGCCCUACUAACCUGGAAGUUCUUUACCAUGGUUACUGAUGGAACCAAAAAGCCUCAAGUUUCAGUACCUACACCACCACCACCUUGGAAAAUCAAUUUGCAGAAAUAUGCUGAAUCCUGUGCUCUCAAACUCCAUAGUCUUCAAUCUAUCAUAGAAAAUAGAGUAAACAGUGAUUAUAGGUCUCAAAAGAACAAGAGAAGGACAACUGUGUUUGAUAACCAAAUUGCAAGAAAAGGGUGCAGAAGAAAGAGGCAGAAACUGGGAAUAAUUGAUAAAGCCCUUGCCAAAUCAGGUUUGGAGGAGAAUCACCAAAAGAAGCUUCCUCGGUGUGUUCAUCGGAGAUAUGAACUAAAGAAAAACCCAGAGAAUGGUUUUUGCUAUGACCAAGCUUUGGGGUUACCACCUUCCUUUGUGUCUACAAGGAAGGGGUAAAGGUUCGAGGGCGCUCUUGAAAAAGGCUCAAACAAGAGGUGCUUGUACAUGAUGCAAGCUAUUAUACUGCCCUCCAAUUGGAGGGUCCAGAGGCUCUCCUGUAUACAGGAUUCAUUAAUGUCUGUAUUAAGAAUGGUGCUGGAACCCUAUCCGGCAACAACACCACAUCCUGGAAAUCAUGAUGACUCUGUUCUUUACAGUGUAACCUAUGGAAGAGCAAUGCUGCAUCAAUGUGGAGCACCAGUUUCUCAGCCAAUUGCUCCUGUAACCUACAUGUAGCAACCAAGUUCCCAACAAAAUAUGAGUACAGAGCUAGAUGGAAGAAAUCGUUGUACUUAGUUUGGACAACAUGACAUUGGUAAUGAUUCAAACAAACAUGGUGUGGAGUUAAGUGAAAAAUCAGGCAAAAUGAAGCACAGUUCUUCAUUUAGACGCCUAUGGGUGUGGAUAAAUUCUUCUGACUUUGAAGAAGGAUACGAGAAUCUACAAAUUUCCUGCCAGAAAGAGAUGGAGAAGAGGGUCAUCUCAAUUAAUUGCUUUUCCCUUGAGGGUCAACUUGCAAAAUUAGAAUUAAUUGGAUUAGGGACAUUUCAACUUCUUCAAAAAGUAUUGCAUGCUGUUGGAAGAGAACUAUUGGCAAUUGAAGAAACAUGUGCCAGAAAUUCAUCCAUACUGAGAAAUGAGGAUUAUUUUUCUUCAUGUGCUAUGCUAUCUCUUAAUGUCAAGGAUCCUCGAGAAUUGCCAUGGAAGAAGACUGUUGUUCCAGUGGAGUCCAUUUCAACUAAGACUCCGACUGAUGCACAAGAAAAGAAAUACAAAGAGCUUGCUGAAUUGGGAGGAAUAUUGGAAGAGAAUAGAGAUUUAUCUUCAUUAUCAAGGUCUUAACUUGUAGACAACCAGUUUGAUAUUGAUGGAUGUAUGGUAUGCUACCACCAGAGGGUUGAGGCCUCCAGUGGAAGACAGUUUUCUUUCUAAGGAGAAACACCAUGAACGUAUGGUUAAUUUCUGCCUUGAUGAUAUACAUUCUGGAGAGGCCAACUCUUCAACUAAGGUGCAGUGCUCGAGAUCUUGCCCUAUUCUUCUUUUAUAAAAUGAUAUGAAGGAAUUGAUUAUAGGGUAACUUCUUUAAUCUAUUUUUCCUUUUAAUUUGUUUGAAAUUACUGAUGGUGAUGAACUCUAUCUAUUAGUAUUGCUUAGCUUGUAUUCUUGAAAACAAAUGAUAGGUAUUUGUGAUGACCUGCUUAAGAUAUACAAGAACAAUAAUAAUCAUAAUUUAUGUUUUAAUUCCCUGCUUACAUUGAACAUGAUUCCUUGCAAUGCAUGAAGCCAUGAAGUAUUUAUGUCAAAA